This 253-nucleotide ribosomal RNA is filed under the name uncultured bacterium. RNAcentral's name for it is "partial 16S ribosomal RNA". It matches the Rfam family "Bacterial small subunit ribosomal RNA", at positions 524 to 776 of the family's 1533-position model. The record is from RNAcentral.
UACGAAGGGUGCAAGCGUUAAUCGGAAUUACUGGGCGUAAAGCGCGCGUAGGUGGUUCAGUAAGUUGGAAGUGAAAUCCCCGGGCUCAACCUGGGAACUGCUUUUGUGACUGCAAGGCUAGAGUACGGCAGAGGGUGGUGGAAUUUCCUGUGUAGCGGUGAAAUGCGUAGAUAUAGGAAGGAACACCAGUGGCGAAGGCGACCACCUGGACUGAUACUGACACUGAGGUGCGAAAGCGUGGGGAGCAAACAGG